Molecule: long non-coding RNA, 971 nt
Organism: Ostrea edulis (European flat oyster)
Lineage: Eukaryota; Metazoa; Mollusca; Bivalvia; Ostreida; Ostreidae
Exons: 2
Source: RefSeq, a predicted model, not a curated record
UAUCAGACAUUGAACUUUUGAUCUUGCCCAGGCUAACAAUGUGUCAUAUUUAUCUGUAUGCAUCUAAUAUACCAGUAUAUAUAUGUAAUAUUACUCCAAAUUUUUAUUUCAGUUCAACUGAGAUUUGAUUUACAAGAGUAACUUGGAAUAAGAGAACAUUAUAAUAAAGGAGGACAGAAACCAAGAAAUAGACCAUUGCCAAAGAAAGUGGACAGAAGGGAAGAAGAAAAAGGUUACAAAUUUUACAAAAUCCAAGUGUGCUAACGGAAUGAUGCCAAGCGAUGAAGAAGAUGAUGAGGGCUUCUUGUUAUACCGAUAUUCAUAGGAAAGCAACUCCUUUAAAACAUACAUAGAAAUUUGUCUGGCAAGAAGAAAUAGACUCGUCUAAACAAGAACGGGGGAUCUAUAAAAGACAAAGACAAACCCAAGGCUGCAGAUGAUUUCUUUUGGAUAUUUAGAUGAGAUCUUCAUUGGGACUUGGACAAUAAGCCUAUUUUCUGUAUAAAUAUAUAUCACAAUAUUUGUACCAUGAUCCAUUUUAUAUUAAUCUGAUUUUGAAAUUUACAAGUGUUUUUUUUAUUACAAAUACAAAUUUAUCAUAUUAACUAUGUAAAAAUAUAUUGUUUUUAAAUAUGAUAUUGGAACAAAUCAAACUUUAAUAUAGUGAUUGUGUUUGAAAUAUGUGACUGUUCUUUAUACAUUUAUUCACUAUCUUGAAUAAUUGGUCUGAAAUUAUUGUUACAGUAACUUUUGUAAAUGUUUUCAUCUUAAAUUUGAUGUUUUCAUCACAUUAAUCUUCAAAUGAAAAUACUGAAAAAUGAUAAUUUUGAUUACAGGCAAUUUUCUUUGUGAAUUGACAAUUUGAAAAAAGAGUAAUGUGACAAGGACUUUAUUUUAGUUUGCCCUUAUACAAGUAUAUGUAUGUUGUACUUAAUAAUAGUUGAAUAAAUAUUUUUAUAUGUACUAGAAAA